AAGAAAUAAGUGAUAGAAAAUUGUUCGGUCAAGAUCUUGUGGAGAAGACUAUAGCCAAAAUAGUUAAGAUCAUGAAGAACAUCUAGACGGCUCAGAGUAGGCAGAAGAGUUAUGCGGAUACUCGGAGGAGGGAUUUGAAAUUUGAAAAAGGUUAUCGAGUGUUCCUUAGGUCACUCCUUUCAAGGGAAUCAUUAGUUUUGGUAAGAGGGGGAAACUAAAUCCCCGUUUAUUAGGCUAUUUAAAAGACAAAAUUAGCCCCGCCACCUACAGACUGACACUAACUUCAGAACAAUCCAGGAUCCAUAACGUGUUUCAUGUGUUCAUGCUAUACAAGUACAACCCAGACCCCUCUAAUGUCUUGGCCCACGAGUCCCUUUUACUCUAG
This 385-nucleotide long non-coding RNA is filed under the name Carica papaya (papaya). RNAcentral describes it as "long non-coding RNA (CPAP_LNC000601)". The record is from RNAcentral. Lineage: Eukaryota; Viridiplantae; Streptophyta; Magnoliopsida; Brassicales; Caricaceae.